UACGUAGGAUGCAAGCGUUAUCCGGAUUUAUUGGGUUUAAAGGGUGCGUAGGCUGUGAGGUAAGUCAGCGGUGAAAUGCCCCCGCUCAACGGGGUGAAGUGCCAUUGAUACUGCCUUGCUGGAAUGCGGAUGCCGUGGGAGGAAUGUGUGGUGUAGCGGUGAAAUGCAUAGAUAUCACACAGAACACCGAUUGCGAAGGCAUCUCACGAAUCCGCGAUUGACGCUGAUGCACGAAAGCGUGGGGAGCAAACAGG
RNAcentral lists this ribosomal RNA (254 nucleotides) under uncultured bacterium. Its description in RNAcentral is "partial 16S ribosomal RNA". It matches the Rfam family "Bacterial small subunit ribosomal RNA", at positions 524 to 776 of the family's 1533-position model. The record is from RNAcentral.